Molecule: ribosomal RNA, 497 nt
Filed under: uncultured bacterium
Lineage: Bacteria
Description: partial 16S ribosomal RNA
Rfam family: Bacterial small subunit ribosomal RNA
Source: RNAcentral
GAUGAACGCUGGCGGCGUGCCUAAUACAUGCAAGUCGAGCGAACGGACGAUAAUCUUGCUUCUCUGAUGUUAGCGGCGGACGGGUGAGUAACACGUGGAUAACCUACCUAUAAGACUGGGAUAACUUCGGGAAACCGGAGCUAAUACCGGAUAAUAUUUUGAACCGCAUGGUUCAAAAGUGAAAGACGGUCUUGCGGUCACUUAUAGAUGGAUCCGCGCUGCAUUAGCUAGUUGGUAAGGUAACGGCUUACCAAGGCAACGAUGCAUAGCCGACCUGAGAGGGUGAUCGGCCACCCUGGAGCUGAGCCACGGUCCAGACUCCUACGGGAGGCCGCAGUAGGGAAUGUUCCGCAAUGGGCGAAAGCCUGACGGAGCAACGCCGCGUGAGUGAUGAAGGUCUUCGGAUCGUAAAACUCUGUUAUUAGGGAAGAACAUAUGUGUAAGUAACUGUGCACAUCUUGACGGUAACUAAUCAGAAAGCCACGGCUAACUACGUG